CCUACGGGAGGCAGCAGUGGGGAAUAUUGCACAAUGGGGGAAACCCUGAUGCAGCGACGCCGCGUGAGCGAUGAAGUAUUUCGGUAUGUAAAGCUCUAUCAGCAGGGAAGAAAAUGACGGUACCUGACUAAGAAGCCCCGGCUAACUACGUGCCAGCAGCCGCGGUAAUACGUAGGGGGCAAGCGUUAUCCGGAUUUACUGGGUGUAAAGGGAGCGUAGACGGCGGUGCAAGCCAGAUGUGAAAGCCUGGGGCUCAACCCCGGGACUGCAUUUGGAACUGUGCUGCUAGAGUGUCGGAGAGGCAGGCGGAAUUCCUAGUGUAGCGGUGAAAUGCGUAGAUAUGAGGAGGAACACCAGUGGCGAAGGCGGUCUGCUGGACAGCAACUGACGCUGAGGCGCGAAAGCGUGGGGAGCAAACAGGAUUAGAUACCCUUGUAGUC
This 440-nucleotide ribosomal RNA is filed under the name uncultured bacterium. Its description in RNAcentral is "partial 16S ribosomal RNA". It matches the Rfam family "Bacterial small subunit ribosomal RNA", at positions 338 to 795 of the family's 1533-position model. The record is from RNAcentral.